This 761-nucleotide ribosomal RNA is filed under the name Prevotella nigrescens. RNAcentral's name for it is "bacterial SSU rRNA". It matches the Rfam family "Bacterial small subunit ribosomal RNA", at positions 28 to 776 of the family's 1533-position model. The record is from RNAcentral. Lineage: Bacteria; Pseudomonadati; Bacteroidota; Bacteroidia; Bacteroidales; Prevotellaceae.
GAUGAACGCUAGCUACAGGCUUAACACAUGCAAGUCGAGGGGAAACGGCAUUUAGUGCUUGCACCGAAUGGACGUCGACCGGCGCACGGGUGAGUAACGCGUAUCCAACCUUCCCAUUACUGUGGGAUAACCUGCCGAAAGGCAGACUAAUACCGCAUAGUCUUCGUUGACGGCAUCAGAUAUGAAGUAAAGAUUUAUCGGUAAGGGAUGGGGAUGCGUCUGAUUAGCUAGUUGGCGGGGCAACGGCCCACCAAGGCGACGAUCAGUAGGGGUUCUGAGAGGAAGGUCCCCCACAUUGGAACUGAGACACGGUCCAAACUCCUACGGGAGGCAGCAGUGAGGAAUAUUGGUCAAUGGACGCAAGUCUGAACCAGCCAAGUAGCGUGCAGGAUGACGGCCCUAUGGGUUGUAAACUGCUUUUAUGUGGGAAUAAAUUGGCGCACGUGUGCGCCAUUGCAUGUACCUCAUGAAUAAGGACCGGCUAAUUCCGUGCCAGCAGCCGCGGUAAUACGGAAGGUCCGGGCGUUAUCCGGAUUUAUUGGGUUUAAAGGGAGUGUAGGCGGUCUGUUAAGCGUGUUGUGAAAUUUAGGUGCUCAACAUUUAACUUGCAGCGCGAACUGUCAGACUUGAGUACACGCAGCGCAGGCGGAAUUCAUGGUGUAGCGGUGAAAUGCUUAGAUAUCAUGAGGAACUCCGAUCGCGAAGGCAGCCUGCGGGAGUGUUACUGACGCUUAAGCUCGAAGGUGCGGGUAUCGAACAGG